AGGAAAAAGAAUCAGUCACACGGUAAGUGGCAAAGCCAGAAACAAAUUCCAAUGUUUUAAUUUCAAAUUAAUCUUUCCCACUAUGCCAUACUUCCUUAGUCUCUAAUUCAUCUUCCACCAUCUCUAAUAUUCUCAUUUCCCAGCCAGUCAGCCAAGCCAAAGAAUGAAUCCUUACUCAGUAUAGCCAGUCUCAAAAAGCCCCAUUUCCCAAAACAACUUUGAGUCCCAUUUUCUUUCUCAUUGGACAGCCUUGAGUUCUUCAAAGAGAAAAAAAGAGAAGAAAAGAAACUGAAGGAGUUAUAUAAGAGGAAAAUAGCAGGAGUAGCUGACCAGCUCUUCCUCUUAUCAAAGCCUACCUAAGAAAUCAUCUGCAUGGAAGAAAUCUGAGAAGACUUUCUAAGAAAAGCAUUUACCUAACUAGUGUUUACAUAUUAUCACCUCAAAAUACAUACAGCUUGUAUGUUAAUUGGCCAGGACCUGGAUAGUAGAAAAGAAUUGGGAAAACCACUCAAGAAAGGAGAAAACACAGAGCUGCAUAGAGGACUUUGAGCCAAUGCUGCUUUGAGACUCAGAAGAUGUGGUAAGUUUGCCAAAUGGCCAUAACACUUGCUUUUGGCUCACAUGGUAAAUCCAGUGAGUAAAGUUUUAGUCAUUUUGUUACUGGUGUGUGACAUGGGAGACUGAGAACAGGAACAGAGAAAGGAGAAGCACAGAACUCAAGAAUGGGGUGGGGUUGGGAAAGAGAAGGAGUUCUACUCUGAGAUCAGGGAAGGUUCUGG
Molecule: long non-coding RNA, 779 nt
Filed under: Canis lupus familiaris (dog)
Lineage: Eukaryota; Metazoa; Chordata; Mammalia; Carnivora; Canidae
Description: lncRNA (ENSCAFG00000057558.1)
Source: RNAcentral